This 915-nucleotide ribosomal RNA is filed under the name Triticum aestivum (bread wheat). Its description in RNAcentral is "partial small subunit ribosomal RNA". Lineage: Eukaryota; Viridiplantae; Streptophyta; Magnoliopsida; Poales; Poaceae. The record is from RNAcentral.
AUGUGCGAGUAUACUGAUAGUGUCGAUGACCCACUCCGACACACUAAAAUCCAGCUCCCUGAUGACGAAGUCACAGAAUCUGUGAAAAAGAUGCUGAAUGAACCGGAGCACCUCUGUGCUCAAACCGGUCUGCCUCCUUACUGCACCACCAACAAACCACCAGCGGGUGAUAAUCCAUUUUGGAGCAAGAAACUUCCUCAAGACAAAACGGAAAAGGCAGGACGGCCAACCCGGCUCAAGACCAAGGUUAUCAAGAAGCCAGCUCAUAAGAGAAAAACCACCGCUUCAUCUGACCCAGCCAUUGAUGAUGAUGUGGGUAAUCCGGAUCUUGAGGAUGACGCUGAAGCCAGCAAUGCGGGUUUUGUUGAGACCCAACAACAUGAAGCUCGCCGCACAACCCGGCACAGUGGCCAGGUAGUUACCUCUGCCGGUUUACCAAACAGUCCGGUUCGAAAACGCCGCUCCGAGGUCACUUCUCAUUCAUCGUCUGGUGAAUCAUCGGCCACCCAGCUACCACCUUUGAAAACAGUUGCUGGGGCUAAACCGAAACCAAGCAAGAAGGCCCGCCUGGAUAGAGCGGCUGAAGAAGAUGUGGCCCCAGAACAUGACCAAGCACCUGAUCAUGAAGUGUUUACUUGUGAAGAUAUCCCCAAUGAUCCUCCUCUGCAAGACGACGUUAUCCCUGAAGAAGGUCCUAUUCAUAUUCCAGCCUCUGCUGAUCCGCCUGCUAGCUCUGUCCAGAUUGAGAAAUCCCACACUCCUGCUGACAAACCGGCCGCACCAACCCAAACCGGCGAGUCAAAAGAUGAUGAUGUUGUGAUUACCGGCGUAGGCUGCUCUGAACCUGGGAAUCCUGCCACCCUUACCAGGCAUACCAUCAAAGAGGAUUCUUCCCCUUUGAACAAAGGAAAAUGA